CUACGUGCCAGCAGCCGCGGUAAUACGUAGGGCGCGAGCGUUGUCCGGAAUUAUUGGGCGUAAAGGGCUUGUAGGCGGUUGGUCGCGUCUGCCGUGAAAUCCUCUGGCUUAACUGGGGGCGUGCGGUGGGUACGGGCUGACUUGAGUGCGGUAGGGGAGACUGGAACUCCUGGUGUAGCGGUGGAAUGCGCAGAUAUCAGGAAGAACACCGGUGGCGAAGGCGGGUCUCUGGGCCGUUACUGACGCUGAGGAGCGAAAGCGUGGGGAGCGAACAGGAUUAGAUACCCUGGUAGUCCACGCUGUAAACGUUGGGCACUAGGUGUGGGGGCCACCCGUGGUUUCUGCGCCGUAGCUAACGCUUUAAGUGCUCCGCCUGGGGAGUACGGCCGCAAGGCUAAAACUCAAAUGAAUUGACGGGGGCCCGCACAAGCGGCGGAGCAUGCGGAUUAAUUCGAUGCAACGCGAAGAACCUUACCAAGGCU
RNAcentral lists this ribosomal RNA (482 nucleotides) under uncultured bacterium. RNAcentral describes it as "bacterial SSU rRNA". It matches the Rfam family "Bacterial small subunit ribosomal RNA", at positions 501 to 981 of the family's 1533-position model. The record is from RNAcentral.